CGGCAGGCUUAACACAUGCAAGUCGAGGGGCAGCGGGGAGGAAGCUUGCUUUCUCCGCCGGCGACCGGCGCACGGGUGAGUAACACGUAUGCAACCUGCCCCUGUCAGGGGGACAACCCGCCGAAAGGCGGGCUAAACCCGCGUACAUGCCACCGGGGCAUCCCGGAGGCAGGAAAGGCUUCGGCCGGACAGGGAUGGGCAUGCGGCGCAUUAGGCAGUAGGCGGGGUAACGGCCCACCUAACCGACGAUGCGUAGGGGUUCUGAGAGGAAGGUCCCCCACACUGGUACUGAGACACGGACCAGACUCCUACGGGAGGCAGCAGUGAGGAAUAUUGGUCAAUGGUCGGGAGACUGAACCAGCCAAGCCGCGUGAGGGAGGAAGGUACAGAGUAUCGUAAACCUCUUUUGUCAGGGAACAAAGGCGGGGACGUGUCCCCGGAUGAGUGUACCUGAAGAAAAAGCAUCGGCUAACUCCGUGCCAGCAGCCGCGGUAAUACGGAGGAUGCGAGCGUUAUCCGGAUUUAUUGGGUUUAAAGGGUGCGCAGGCGGUCUGUUAAGUCAGCGGUCAAAGCCCGGGGCUCAACCCCGGCCCGCCGUUGAAACUGGCAGUCUCGAGUUGGAGAGAAGUAUGCGGAAUGCGCGGUGUAGCGGUGAAAUGCAUAGAUAUCGCGCAGAACUCCGAUUGCGAAGGCAGCAUGCCGGCUCCACACUGACGCUGAGGCACGAAAGCGUGGGUAUCGAACAGGAUUAGAUACCCUGGUAGUCCACGCAGUAAACGAUGAAUGCUGGCUGUCCGGGGGGAUUGACCCCUGGGUGGCGAAGCGAAAGCGAUAAGCAUUCCACCUGGGGAGUACGCCGGCAACGGUGAAACUCAAAGGAAUUGACGGGGGCCCGCACAAGCGGAGGAACAUGUGGUUUAAUUCGAUGAUACGCGAGGAACCUUACCCGGGCUCAAACGGGGAGUGACUCAGGCAGAGACGCCUGUUUCCCACGGGACACUCCCCGAGGUGCUGCAUGGUUGUCGUCAGCUCGUGCCGUGAGGUGUCGGCUUAAGUGCCAUAACGAGCGCAACCCCCGCGUGCAGUUGCUAACAGAUAACGCUGAGGACUCUGCACGGACUGCCGGCGCAAGCCGCGAGGAAGGCGGGGAUGACGUCAAAUCAGCACGGCCCUUACGUCCGGGGCGACACACGUGUUACAAUGGGUGGUACAGCGGGAAGCCAGGCGGCGACGCCGAGCGGAACCCGAAAUCCACUCUCAGUUCGGAUCGGAGUCUGCAACCCGACUCCGUGAAGCUGGAUUCGCUAGUAAUCGCGCAUCAGCCAUGGCGCGGUGAAUACGUUCCCGGGC
RNAcentral lists this ribosomal RNA (1350 nucleotides) under uncultured bacterium. Its description in RNAcentral is "partial 16S ribosomal RNA". It matches the Rfam family "Bacterial small subunit ribosomal RNA", at positions 40 to 1379 of the family's 1533-position model. The record is from RNAcentral.